CUGAAAUCUCGGCCUUUGAAAACGACAACUACGUCAUAUCGUUAAUAGAACAAGAAAUAUGCUAUCGUGCUAAGCUAUUCAUCGGAUCCCGGUCUUCAGGGUGGAGCUCCAUUGUGUCGUUGCAGCGAAAUGCCACUAACAAAGAAACUAUGUUUAUCCAGGACUUUUCUGAUAUAGGAAUGCGAAUAUAACGACACAUGUAGAAGAUGUGUGAAGUGCAUUAUGACAAUAUAUGUUUAAAUGUAUAAGAUAUGAGUCACAGAUCAAUUUGUUUCACGCUCUGAUUGAAGAUGGCCGAAUGGCGGCCAUUUUUGUGCUGAAAAAUCAUCGAAAUCAAGCAGUUGUGGCAUUCCGGAACCGGAUCUCGGCUGUUUACAGAUGGAUUUUGUUCACACUUGGUACAUUUUGUCUUACUUAAUGCUUUCCCAG
Long non-coding RNA from Saccoglossus kowalevskii, 429 nucleotides. Lineage: Eukaryota; Metazoa; Hemichordata; Enteropneusta; Harrimaniidae. The record is from RefSeq and is a predicted model, not a curated record.